AACAAGGAUUCCCCUAGUAACGGCGAGUGAAGCGGGAUGAGCUCAAGCUUAAAAUCUCCGUGCAAUUUUUGCACGGCGAAUUGUAGUCUAUAGAGGCGUGGUCAGUAUAAGCACUUGGGGUAAGUUCCUUGGAAAAGGACAGCAUGGAGGGUGAUACUCCCGUUCAUCUCUAAGUUGCUUGUGCGUACGACCCGUUUUCUUUGAGUCGCGUUGUUUGAGAAUGCAGCGCAAAGUAGGUGGUAAAUUCCAUCUAAAGCUAAAUAUUGGUGCGAGACCGAUAGCAAACAAGUACCGUGAGGGAAAGAUGAAAAGAACUUUGAAAAUAGAGUUAAAGAGUACCUGAAACUGCUGAAAGGGAACCAAAUCGUUUCCAGUGUCUAUAAUCCGUGGUAUAUUUCAUUGGCGAGUGUGUGCGUGCGUGUGCUGUUGCAGUGGCUUUUUGGCUGCGCUCAGUGUGUGUGCUGUGUGUACUUGCUGGUGCCCUGUGCUACGGUGGGACGUCAAGGUCAGUUCGUAUGCUGCGGGAAAUGGCUACUGAGGAGGUAGGGCUUACGCUUGCGUUUGUCUGUUAUAUCUUGGUGGACGAGUCGUCGCGGUUGGGACUGAGGUGCCUACAACGUGCUUUUGAGUGGGCUUGGGUCUCCGUGUGCGCCGUGUGCGGAUAGCUUGCUAUGCGUGUGUGGUUGUAUGUGGAUUGAUUGCGAGCCGUAACUUGUAGU
Molecule: ribosomal RNA, 719 nt
Filed under: Plasmopara obducens
Lineage: Eukaryota; Oomycota; Peronosporomycetes; Peronosporales; Peronosporaceae
Description: LSU rRNA
Rfam family: Eukaryotic large subunit ribosomal RNA
Source: RNAcentral